AGUGAUUUUUACCUCUUUGUAUUAUAGGAUUUUUAAAAAUGAAAAACAAGAUUCACUCGAAGUUAAUAAAAUGAAUCAGUGACCCAACUCUAUGUAGUCUCAAAAUAAUUAAUUCUAUCCAGGCUGCCAGGAUAAACAAAUGAAUAAAAAAAUUUAGAAGUUUACAUACAAGAAGGUAUUUUUACAACUACAGACAUCAAAAAAACAAAAAAGAGCUUUAGAUAAUGUGUUAUUUUCUAGAGCAUUUCUUGAAACUGUUUACUACAGUU
This 269-nucleotide long non-coding RNA is filed under the name Bos taurus (domestic cattle). RNAcentral describes it as "long non-coding RNA NONBTAT026825". Lineage: Eukaryota; Metazoa; Chordata; Mammalia; Artiodactyla; Bovidae. The record is from RNAcentral.